Non-coding RNA from Rattus norvegicus (Norway rat), 789 nucleotides. The record is from RefSeq and is a predicted model, not a curated record. NCBI's taxonomy places the organism in Eukaryota, Metazoa, Chordata, Mammalia, Rodentia, Muridae.
UGGGAAAAUGGGCGGCACCCUCGUGGAAGCACAGGAAACGGAUACAUCACGGGAAGACAAGCAACACGAAGGCCGAGAGGUAACAGUAAGCCAGUGACCUUGUGAGCAGAGUGCGACCAGAUUCUACCAGACACCCUGGUGCAAACGCCGAGCAGAAAGAAGAUCCUAGGAUGAGAAAGGUGCAGGGACUGAAAGUUCCUAAGCACUGUGCGUCACCCGACCCUGUCUACGGCUCAGACAUUCCCGUUUGUCACGUGACUCCAGUCAGCACUAGGACGAUCCACUCAGGAGCUUCAUCUCCCAUGUGGAACCAUCCCUGGCAGAUUUCCGUGAAAGCAUUCACUUCAAAACAUUCGUCCCACCAAACACCAAAUUCACCCAAUGAGUUUUCUACGCAAAAUUUCCUGAAAAGGGUCUCGUGCCUUCAGUAACGGGAAGCAAUUGGCAAACGAGGUCUCUCACUGAACCGGGAGCAGGGCUGGCUGUUGAAGCCCUCCUGCCUUCACCUCCCACAGCACCAGGAUUAAAGGUGCAGUAUGAAGAAGACCAGCUUUCCACCCAGGGGCCAGGAUCUAAACCUAGAGCCUCAUGCUUGUGCAGUAAGUACUCUUAUCCACCGAGCCAUCUUCCCAACACCCUUGAUUGACAUUUACUAGACUGCUUAGCUAAAGACCAUUUUGGCUUGGGAAGUAAGAAGACUACCCACAUAUGAUACAGAUAUUAUAAAUGGCUCUUUUCUAAUACUUUAACACCAGAAUAAAUUUCUCUGGAUUUUACACUUUCUCUGGA